This 72-nucleotide transfer RNA is filed under the name Rostrohypoxylon terebratum. Its description in RNAcentral is "tRNA-Glu". It matches the Rfam family "tRNA". Rfam says of the family: Transfer RNA (tRNA) molecules are approximately 80 nucleotides in length. Their secondary structure includes four short double-helical elements and three loops (D, anti-codon, and T loops). Lineage: Eukaryota; Fungi; Ascomycota; Sordariomycetes; Xylariales; Hypoxylaceae. The record is from RNAcentral.
UCCCAAUUGGUGUAGUGGUCAACAUUCAAGAUUCUCACUCUUGAGCCCAGGGUUCGAUUCCCUGAUUGGGAG